AACACCCACUCAGUAAAAGGGACGGUGACGCUUUGCACAUUUCAUUUCAUUUUUACAACGAUCCUGAGAGACAGAAAUUAAUACCCUCAUUUUACAAAUGGGGAAUGAAGGUUCUGAAAGGAGUUGAUGCAAUUUGGCUAAAGUCACACAGUGGGUAAGCAGCCGAUGUGGGACUCAAACCCUGUCACACAACUGUGUACGCCAGCUCCGAAGAGAGCAAAACCUGGCAGAAGGAAGUUGGCCAGUGCAGGGUGGUACAAGCAAAAUACAAGAGUUCAGAAGCUAGGCUGGGCCUGGAGCGGACCAGUGUUGAGGAAGCCUUGUCUCCUCUCCUCCCCCCGGAAUGUGAGCAAUGUUUGAUGACGCAAGACCCAGGCCUUCAGCCGCCUCCAGGGUGAGACUGGGCCCUGGGUCUCUCCAAGCCUUGGUGGGCCCCGGCGGCUGGGGACUGUGUGUCCUUUGGAAUGAAUGGAGCCCACAGUGUGAGUGCAGGCCUGGCUAGGACCCAGGGGCAGAAGCAUGGGUACAGCCACUUCAUUGUGUGGGCACAGGAACCCACUGGGGCCACAUGCAAAUGAGCCAGCUGGUGGGGAUGGCGGCCACAGGCCAGGAGUCAGCCACGAGGAGGAACAGGAAGGAAGAUGCCCAGGAGGAGAGGCCCAGGAAUCUGAGCACGCAGCCUCCAUCCUCGGUCUGCUAGAAACCAAGAUCCUAGGGAUGGCUGCCCCACCUUUGCUCCCCAGUGGAGGUGCAGUCAGCAACGCUGCCGGGGUAUGAAGGAUUUGAACCUUCAAACGCUUGAUGGCCCAGACUCUCUCCAGAACAGAAAAAUCUGUGUGCACACACACUCAUGCACACAGUAUAGGCACAAAUGCAAGCGAUUCAGACCUAGGCUUGUAUCGCUGACAUAAUCGGUUCUCAAAACCUUUAUGACAACGUGCAAAUGAUUAUGAAGUCCCCUUAGCGUUUCGAUAGACCUACCACGUGCACAGCCAUUUCUCUUCCAGUAUCUUAGUUUAUUCCCACAGCCACCUUUUGAAGUCAACGAAAUUGCAAACUUCGUCCCUGGCAAUAUGUUUUACAGAUGAAGAAAUGAAGGUUGGGCCAGUAUCGGUGAUUUCAUUACGGUAAAUUGCCAGUUAGUGACAAAGCUGGCACUAAAAGCAAGGUCUUGUGACUUUUAGUCCAAACUCAUGCUCCACCUCAACCUCCAUCCCGUGGGCCUCUCCACAUAGCUGGGUUCAGGCAGGGUCUUCUCCUGCCUGGGAUAAGAGAAUGGAAGGCUUUUAAAUGGGUGAAUCACUUAGACCCAGAGAGAAUGCUUCAAUUUGGUUAUAAUAGAGGGGAGAGGAGUCUACCCAGACAAGCAAGGGAAAAAUGAAUCCGCUGUGUGAACUGGCAUGGCAGAGGCUGGGGAUUGGCCAACACGAUGUGCCCUAGGGCGAGUUGCUUGUCUAGUUUUCUCUUUCUGGGCACCAGAACCUUAGCUACAAUAGAUCUCUGGAGUAUAUUUGGCCUAGAUAUCUAUAUGAAACUUUUCUGUAGAGUUUUUUUUUUUUAAUUCAGAACUCCAUAAAAAUCAUAAAAACCAGGUGCUGUGGCUCAUGCCUGUAAUCCCAGAAUUUUGAGGGGCCAAAGUAGGAGGAUCCCUUGAGCCCAACCUAAGCAAUAUAUUGAAACCCCAUCUCGACAAAAAAAUAAUCAAAAAUUUAGCCAGGAAUAGUAGUGAACACCUGUGGUGGUCCCGGCUACUCAAGAGGCUGAGGUGGGAGGAUUACUUAGCUCAGGAGGUAGAGGCUACCAUGAGCUGUGAUCAUGCCAUUGCCUGGACUACAGCAUGAGACCCUUUCUAAAAAAAAAAAAACCCAAAAAAAUAAAAUAAGGAGACCAUUUUAACCCGCAGUGUAAGAGGACAGGAAGGCUGUGACCAUUAUUGAUAACCCCUACCCAAUAAAUUACUGAAACUUCUCACGCAGGUGAAACGAUAGGAGGAAAAGUUGGGAAAAGUAUGUCUGGUUUGUUCACCAGGAGACCUCAGCAACCAGCCCAGAGCUGGCCACACUAAGUGGGCACAAUGCACGAUGCUCCAUGUGAACACUGACUCUUCCUUUUCUCUUAGCUGGGCUGGAAAUAGACUUUGUCCUCUGACUUCCUUUGUCCUCAUCUGCAAACAGGGCAGAUGUGAGAGGCCUGGCAAGUGUCUAUGAUCUGGGUGAAAACAUCUGCUUCCAGCACACACGACACAAGUCAGCAGGAGCCAGGAAUGUUCCUGCACUCGCUACCGUUUGACUUCUUUCAUUAAUAACUUGGGAGGAUUGCAGGCAAGGGCUUCUGGCAGGAAUGAAAGGAAAUGAUCCAAGAAAAAAAUCAAACUCAUAAAUAAGUUAAAGUGACUGAUGGAAGGCUUUUGAUCUUUUUUUUUAAGUGAAAUAUGGGCAUUUCCCUUCAGAACUCCGCAGGUAGAGGGAGAAGCCAAGAGGGCUGACUUCUUAGGGGUUAGCAUGUAGACACACACUUUCAAACUAUGGCCCCUUCUCAUUGGUCUUCUGGGGAUCGGGAAGUCUCAGUUGGGCUGAGAGGAGGAUGGCAGAAUAAAGGAGAAAGAGCAUGAACUUUGGAAUCAGUCCAAGCUGGGUUUCAAACCAGUUGUGUGAUCUUGGGCAAGUUCAUUAUCCAAAUGUUACAUUCCUUUUGUGUCGACUGGGGGAAAGAAUGCCUGCCUCACAGAAUAGCUGUGGAAACUGAACUUGGUGAUGUGAACAUAUAUUAAUCAGGAUAAGUAUUCCUUAACUGCCACAAUGGACAAGUCUCCAAAGUUCUGUGGCAAAGCAUAACACCAAUCACCCGCUCCAAGUCCCAUGCAGGUUGAUGGAGCUCCCCUCCAUCCCAUGACUCAGGUAGAAGGACCGUACCUUUCAGCAGGUGAGACCAUGCUGGUCCACACCUGCUGUCCCAGCUUCAUUGUCAUUAGCACCCUCCCCCGUCCCUCUCAAAAGCGUCCCUUUUUGAGUGACAAAUUAUACAGUCACUUUAGGCUCAAAGAGCCAGACUCCCUCUGUCCUGUGAGGCCAUCUUCUCUACAUGUGGCAUCCAAGGUCGUCAUGGCACAAUGGUCCUUCAGUGCAUCAGUUCAACAGUGACAUAUGCCAUUCUGCCCCCCAUUUCAUCAGCUAGUCUGGUCACACGGCCUCACCCGACAGUCCUGCCAUCUUCCCACAUACCCAGCAAGGGGAGUGAGCCCGAUGCGGGUGUGCGGGGUGGAAUGAGGUUCUCAGUGAGUGUUUUGUCCCUGCUCUGCUCCUCCCACCAUUCCUCGGGAGGCACACAAAGUAGGAGGAGAAAAACAUCAUCUUGUGGACACGUCAGACCACAAAACACCAAAAGUUCUGAGAUGUACACAUUUUUAAGGCAAAAUGAAAUAUAGCCCUUUACUGUUUCCAAAGGGCUUUUGCGUUCAGGAUCUCACUUGAUCUUCCCAACAGCACCAUGAGGCAACACUGGAAUUUCCAUUUACAAGGGAAAACUGAGGUUCAGAGAGACACACACCCAUUUCACAAGGCUGCAAGAGAUGGAGCCAGGACUUGAACUCAGUCCUUCCACUUUGCCAUCCAGUUCUCAUUCCCUUUCUGCCUCUCACAGUCCUACAAAUGCAUAUGACAAUGCUAUGGACAUCCUCAUUAGUGAGCCCACAGAUGGAUUUCCUGAGUGCAGGACCAAGAAUCAGUGGUGAGGCCAGAGCUGAGGGGUAAAGGCUGUUAAUCUAGGAUCAAAUAAUAGAAAUGAAGGGAGUAUGAAGAGGCCCCUUCCCUCACCUCUUUCUUAUUAUACUCAGGGAGACUGGGGCCCACGAAGACUUGCCUAAGGUCGCACAGCGAACUAGUACCUGAGACCACUGGCUUUCCUGAUUCCUAUUACAGUGUUCUUUCUGCUGCUCUAUUACAAAAUCAAAGGGGAGAAAAUGAAGAAUAGACUGCUUCCUUGGUUAUUGUGAAAAAGAGAGAAGCCAAUAUAGGCACAGGGGAACAAGAGGGCAUAUGAUCUCUGCCAUGUUCAUGGGAAGCCCAAGGACCCUUGGAAUACUAAAGAGUGGAGAAUCCCUGUAGGCUCAGGGGAGAUAGGAAGGCUUCAUAUUAUUUACAUGUGAUCCAGACUGUCAGCUCUCCAUUAAGAUCCUCUCUUCCAUGUGACUGGCAAUGUUAAGCCUUCCAGAGGAGAGAUGAAAACAAGUCAUUCUAGUUGGAAGCAACUGGAUGCUUGGCAGUGUAGCUGUCCAUCCAUUUGGUCCUUCUUCCAAAAUGUAUUUACUGAGCAGGUGUGUGUUCUCAGGCACCCUGCGGCAGGCAUUCUGGGCAUGCCAUGAUGAGAGAUUCAGCUCCUGUCCUUAGGAAGCUCCCAGUCUAGUUUGGGAGACAGCCAAUUGGGACACAAGGCACUAACCCAGCCUGAGUGGGAACUAAAAGGAUUUAUUUUCUAGAAAAGGUGACAUCUGAGCUGAGACUUGGAGUUGGUGAGCAGUUCUAGGUAUGCUGGAGCAAGAUUUGAGUUUGAUAUAAUGAGAGAUGAUGCAAUCCAGAAAGACACAAAGGAAUCAGCAUAUGAAGGACUUUGACUGCAGAGUCUGUAUGUGAUCCCAUAGGCGAUGGGGGCUACUGAAGACUGUGGAGCAGGAGAGUAAUGUGAUCAGAUUCAGGUUUAAGAAAUCUCUCUCCAGCAGCUGAUGAUGGGCGGGCUGAAGAUAGAGAUGAGACUCUAGUCUACAUUUCUCUGGAAGACACUUCCAGCACCAUAGUGCAGCCACCAUCGUCUCCCAUCUAAGUGACUACAACCAAGUCCAGAUUUGCCUCCUCCAGUCCAUUCUCAAGAGGUCAGUGUGACUGAUCCUUCCAGAACUCAAAUAGGAUCAUGUCUUCUUCCCCUGUUUAAAGCCUUCAGUGCCAUUCCACUGCCCUCAGACAGUCCUUGCAUGAUCUGGCAUAGGUUGCCUCUCAAAUUAGGUUCUUGAACUUUCUUUGUCUUCUGUGUGUCAACAAACUCAAUGUUCCUCAAAGGUAUAGUGUUCUCUCCUGUCUCGGGGCCCACAGACCUAUGCUUUUCUCUGUUCCCCCUUACUUCCCACAUCCCCAGCCUUAUCUCCCCAAUUCCACUCCUUCAAAUCUUAGCUUAGAUGUCACUUCCAUCUGGGAAGUCCUCUGGCCCCCAAAGCUAGAAGAGGUGUUUCUUAUCUAUGUUCUCACUGCAGCCUGCACCUGGCUAUAUGGUCGUUGCCUAUUUACUAGUCCAUACCCCACCAGACCACAACCACGUGAAGAUGCAACUAGAAAAACAGGACUCUCGUGUUGAUGCUCCAUCCCCAGGGCCUGGUACGGUAUCUGGCAUAUUUGCACAAGUAUUUGUUGACUGCACGAAUGGAGACAGGAGACCCACCACAGCCAUCCAGAUAUGAGAAGCAGAGAGCUGCGAUGAGGGCAGGCCAGUGGGAUGGAGCGGAGAGGAGCGCGGUGGUCAUUUGUGUUGAUGGAACUCAACAGUGUUGUCCGUGGGUCUAGCAACUCCUUGGCUCUCUCCACUACUUCCAUUGGCUGUUGCUAAGGACCCCAGCCUCUAGGGAUGAGACCUGGGGGCAGAAAACCAUAAUGUCAUGCGACAGACUGUAAGAUCAUCGUGCCUUAUUCACGUCUUCACGACAGCAUUUGUCAUUUAGGAUUCCAACAUCUCUUCAAGCUUCUGUCUUUCCCACUGGGCUGGAAACUUGAGGGCAAGGACUGAAGCUUAUGAGCAGGGUGGUACAGAGUAGGGUCCUGAAAGAGCUCAUUAAAUGCACCUGAACUUGGAAGAGACUCAGUCCCUGCCAUCGAAGACCUCACAGUUCAUUUCAGGUGGCACCUAUGGACACACAAGACUUUUUCAAGGUGGGCUUGAUAAUGACAGAUGACACCAUCACUGGGCCACAGUAAGAAUUAAAAGGGUUUGGACUGUGCUCUUGAGCACAGAGGAGGGGUCAUUGGUUCUGAUUUGGUGGCCUGUAGAGAGCUCCCCCGGUAUUGCACAAACAUGCCUCUGUUUCAGCGUUGUACAUUUACUGUCAGGGAGCAGGGUACUCACAGCACACUGACUCCUCUAACAAACUACCCCUGGGUCUCAGGGGCUUCAC
RNAcentral lists this long non-coding RNA (6151 nucleotides) under Homo sapiens (human). RNAcentral describes it as "HSALNT0027876". The record is from RNAcentral. Lineage: Eukaryota; Metazoa; Chordata; Mammalia; Primates; Hominidae.